UUUUUAGCAUAAGUAUGUCCCAUGCAAUAUUUUGGGUUUACUUAUACUAAAA
This 52-nucleotide microRNA precursor is filed under the name Equus asinus (donkey). RNAcentral's name for it is "mir-1302 microRNA precursor family". It matches the Rfam family "mir-1302 microRNA precursor family". RNAcentral also lists the same sequence under 1 other name. The record is from Rfam by way of RNAcentral. Lineage: Eukaryota; Metazoa; Chordata; Mammalia; Perissodactyla; Equidae.